CUUAUAUGGUCGAGAAAUUAUUUUUUUUAAAUGGUUAUUUUAUUUUUAAAACAUCCAUAUAUAAAAGCUGCGUAUCAGUAUAUCAAUUUCAAAGGAGAGUUUUGAAUCUAUAAGCAAUUAUCGUCUUCUAAAUCAGGGUGAUCAUCUGUAAUGAAUGCUCCACUUCUUGUUGAUGGUCCUGAUGCGGUUAGAAAGGAAUAUAGUAUAGUUCACAACGAGUAUAAUACCAAAAUACCCAUAAGUCAUGUUUACAAGCAAACACUACUUUCUCGGUUCAACUUCAUGAAAAGUUAUAAAACUAAAGUAGUAGAGAACAAGUAUAAUUCUGGAAGAACAUCCAAAGAUGUUUAUUUGCUAAGUAGGGAUGACAUUAGAAAUUAUCUUAGCAAAUCAUAUAAGUUUUUGCAUAUUGGGUUGGUACAAUUUUCGAUAACUCACACUUCUUACAAUCAAGAAUCAUUCCCCUUGUCGGUAUGCUUGAUAGAUUCAAAGCACCAAAGCAUUGAAGAGUCUAUAUUGGUAAGUAUAAAUACAGAUUUGCAUUUAGAUGCCUUGGAGUUUAAUUGGUUUCCAAAUUUUUCAUCAUCUCUGUCUGAUCUAACAAAUUCCAACGGUUUGGUGGUUACUAUAAAUUCUUCAAGUUCUGAAAAUUUUAAGUUUGAUUAUAAAGUAUAUUAUAAAUUAAUGAAGAAAUCUCUUAAGCCUGGUUAUCUAUUUAAAAAUCCUAUAAUAGAGGUAAACACCAAGAAUGUUCAUGUUGUUAUCCCAACCUCUGAUAGUCAGACUUAACAAGAAUCCAUGGGUUGUAAAAGUGUUGUUCUCUUUCCAUCUUAUAUUAUAUUUUGUUUGUUGGGUCUAUUUAUAUAUUCCUUUAUUAUGUAGUGUGAUGAGUAUGUAAUUUGCCUUAAGUAUUAUGGAUUAAACAUUACAAAUUAAUAAAAGUGCUUUUGAAUUGGCUUAUCA
Lathyrus oleraceus (garden pea) is the source of this 963-nucleotide long non-coding RNA. RefSeq lists it as uncharacterized. The record is from RefSeq and is a predicted model, not a curated record. Lineage: Eukaryota; Viridiplantae; Streptophyta; Magnoliopsida; Fabales; Fabaceae. The transcript has 2 exons.